UACUUCAAAGCAUGGGUUGUGCUUCACCCCACCCUCUCUAGCUAAACUCCUUGGCUAAUGGCCUGCAUGAUCUUAACUUCAUUCCGGAAAUACUGGUUAAGAGGAUUUGGGACAGGCCAUUUGGAGGCUGGUGAACCUGACAACUUACACAACCUACAUUUGCAAAGCCCAGUUAUUUUCUGACUAAUGGGUCAGAAAGAGGGGGCAGAAGAGGAGAGAGAAAUCUUCACCAAACAAACAGCCAGGCCAUCUGGGUGGAGUUGCUUAAGGCAGUCACAAAAAAAUGAUCACAUCAUUUACCUCUCAUUUAACAAGGGCAGAGCAGGGAUACUAGCUGUGAGACACUUCUGCUCCGGGAAAGACCGUUCCUGAUUGUGGUUAUGGAGGAGGUGUCUUCAAAAGCAUCAAGGAAAAAAUAUCAAAUAAUUGUAUUUGUUUGACUGAAGACUUAUCUGGAUACAGGAGUUCCCCUCAGCCUUUUGAGUGUUGGUCGCUGAUCGUGGUUAUGGAGGAGGUGUCUUCAAAAGCAUCAAGGAAAAAAUAUCAAAUAUUUUGAUAUUUGAUAUCAAAUAUCAAAAUUUGCCAUGGUGCCCAGCAUGGUUCAAGAUCAUAAGUGUCAAGCACAUCAGGGCAAGAAUCUUCUGUUCCAUAUGCAACAUCUUCUGGCAGCCUUGUCCUUUUUCUGUCCUUGACGACUACAAUAACAAACAGCUGUUGCCGAGGCAUUGCUGUUGACGUGUUACCUUUGAAACCUCCCUCCUGUUAUGGAAUAAGCCUCUUCCAGAUCAUGGCUCAUUAUCAUCUAGUCUGACAAGCAGCCUUGUUGCCACGGAGACCCAAAGGGAUCAGGCGUGGCAUUUGCCUGCAUCAUCACCCCCUCCAGGGGAACUAUAAGGACUCUUCUGUGCGUCAUGCGUGGCUGUCCUGGGACUGGCUGCCACCAGACUUUUCCUGCGGGUAAAACCUAAACAAAUGAUCAGCUGCAGAUAAUAUCAAGACCUCUGUUUGAUAUGUUAAUAGUGACAGCCAGAUUUCCACAAUUAACAACGAGGUGGGAAGAAAACACUGUAGUCACCAGACUUGGGAGGAGAGGGUUUGUAUUCACAUAAACACAACCUCACGUCACUGCUUGCCACCACAAAGGGCUCUGUUCACUGUUUUGUUCUCAAAGAUCAUCCUUGCGCUCAUCCUCUGAUCUUGAAUUUCUACAUAACUUUCUCAGUUUAUAUGCCCUGUGGCAAGUGCAGCAAGCACUGUUUCCUGUUUCUAAACUUGUAGAAAAUCAUCCAUACAUCUUACAGUUGUCAGUUUUAACCAGAUAACAGUGGCACUUUGUUGCUGCUUUUUUAUCUUUAGCUUAGGUUAACAGGACCCUGGAAGUAAAGUUGUUGAUUUAUUCAAUAGAGUAUUCUCAAUUAAUUUGGCUAGAUUUCUACAUGAUUCAAAAUCUAAAAAAGUAGAAAUGCAUGCUUACAUGUCUAAGGCCUGAAAAAUUGGUAGUGACAUCCCAAAAUAAAUGAAGGUUUUAAAACAAUAA
Molecule: long non-coding RNA, 1537 nt
Filed under: Homo sapiens (human)
Lineage: Eukaryota; Metazoa; Chordata; Mammalia; Primates; Hominidae
Description: HSALNT0337294
Source: RNAcentral